Molecule: long non-coding RNA, 1111 nt
Organism: Bubalus bubalis (water buffalo)
Lineage: Eukaryota; Metazoa; Chordata; Mammalia; Artiodactyla; Bovidae
Exons: 3
Source: RefSeq, a predicted model, not a curated record
AAAACCUUGAUGUACUCCUUUCCCAAUUUGGAACCAGUCCGUUGUUCCAUGUCCAGUUCUAACUCUUGCUUCUUAACCUGCAUACAGGUUUCUAAGGAGGCAGGUAAGGUGGUCUGGUAUGUUGCAGCAAGGGUGAUGUUAAAUCUGAAUAUAAUGGAAACUCACUAGUCUUCACAUGAAUGGGUUUCAAUUUGGGUGGUGUCUGAAAUUGUAGUUUGAAGACUAACUGUAUCACCAUCGUUCUUAGACAUGUGCUUUCUCAGACUCCCAGACUCCACCUUUGACCCACUGAAUGAAAUUGCAGCAUUGGGACCCAGUCAUCUAUGUCCUAACAAACACUGGACUUGACUCUCGUGAAGAACAAAGUUUGACAAUCAUUGGGACAGGAUAUCAGUCGUUGAAACCCACUCUAAUAUCUUGGUUGAAAUAAGAUUUGAGGACAGUGGAAAGAAGAAGAGUCUUCCAAGGCAGCAAUCAAAAAUGGAUGGGAAGUCUAUGACUGUGAGCAACAUGAGAAAGGCUUCAGUGAACACACUAACCUUAUGAUACACAGGAAUAUUCAGAAUGGAGGGAACACUUAAAAGCAUAAUGAGUGCGGAAGAAGCUUCCUACCUCCACAGAAGAAAAACUCUACUGUUGUGAAACAUUCUGUUUAAUUAGUGUGGAAAAGCCAUCAGUCCGACUGAAUGCUGUAGAUGGGAGAACCAGCAUGGGAGAGAAAGCUGGAAGCCUCUGGGCAUCAGCUUUCUCUUCAGGCACAAAUGGUAACUCAGAAUGGGGAAAAACUGAAUAGAAGUAACAUGGGAAAGCUUCUGUUCACUUCACAAGCUAUGAUGUACAUGUACGAAAUCACACCUCAAACUACUUAUGAAUGUAAGGAGUGUGGGAAAGUAUCGUACAUCCCUUAAAAUUCAUAUGGGAAUUCACACUGGAGAGAAACUCAUGUUAAUGUAAAGAAUAUGGGAAAGCCUUCAUUAUACCUUCUAAACUUAAUCGGUAUAUAAAAAUUUCAUACUGGAGACAAGCACUUUAUAAGUAAGAAAUUUAGGAAAGCUUUCAUUAGAGCUUAUAAGUAGGUUUGAUGCAUGAUACAGGAUGCUUGGGGCUGGUG